RNAcentral lists this ribosomal RNA (383 nucleotides) under uncultured eukaryote. RNAcentral's name for it is "partial 18S ribosomal RNA". It matches the Rfam family "Eukaryotic small subunit ribosomal RNA", at positions 592 to 976 of the family's 1831-position model. The record is from RNAcentral.
CAAUAGCGUAUAUUAAAGUUGUUGCAGUUAAAAAGCUCGUAGUUGGAUUUCUGGUGGGAGCGAUCGGUCUGGCGCUUAGCGCGAGUACUUGCAUCGUCUCCGGCCAUCCUUGGGGAGAGUCUGUCUGGCAUUAGGUUGUCGGGCAGAGGAUCCUCAUCGUUUACUGUGAAAAAAUUAGAGUGUUCAAAGCAGGCUUAUGCCGUUGAAUAUAUUAGCAUGGAAUAAUAAGAUAGGACUUUGGUACUAUUUUGUUGGUUUGCGCACCAAAGUAAUGAUUAAUAGGGACAGUUGGGGGUAUUCGUAUUCCGUUGUCAGAGGUGAAAUUCUUGGAUUUACGGAAGACGAACUACUGCGAAAGCAUUUACCAAGGAUGUUUNCAUUAA